GAUGAAGAACGCAGCGAAUUGCGAUAUGUAAUGUGAAUUGCAGAAUUCAGUGAAUCAUCGAAUCUUUGAACGCACCUUGCACCCUCUGGUAUUCCGGAGGGUAUGCCUGUUUGAGUGUCAUUAACACCUCAACGCUGAAUGGGUUCUUGUAACUUGUUCGGUGCUUGGACUUUGAAGGUUGCCGGUGUCAAGGCCAGCUCCUUUUAAAUGCAUGAGCAAGGACUAUUCCGAAUCGGCUUCGGUUUGAUAAAUUGACUUAUCUAUAUGCUGUCGCUGAGGAACUAUGGUCAUGUUGCUUCUAAUGGUCUUCGGACUGUCUCCUUGUGAGGCAUUGUAAUUGACUCUUGACCUCAAAUCAGGCAAGACUACCCGCUGAACUUAAGCAUAUCAAUAAGCGGAGGA
RNAcentral lists this unclassified non-coding RNA (402 nucleotides) under soil metagenome. RNAcentral's name for it is "partial contains 5.8S ribosomal RNA, internal transcribed spacer 2, and large subunit ribosomal RNA". The stretch from base 1 to 120 matches the Rfam family "5.8S ribosomal RNA", at positions 35 to 154 of the family's 154-position model. The record is from RNAcentral.